RNAcentral lists this RNase P RNA (369 nucleotides) under Geovibrio thiophilus. Its description in RNAcentral is "Bacterial RNase P class A". It matches the Rfam family "Bacterial RNase P class A". Rfam says of the family: Ribonuclease P (RNase P) is a ubiquitous endoribonuclease, found in archaea, bacteria and eukarya as well as chloroplasts and mitochondria. Its best characterised activity is the generation of mature 5'-ends of tRNAs by cleaving the 5'-leader elements of precursor-tRNAs. Cellular RNase Ps are ribonucleoproteins. Lineage: Bacteria; Pseudomonadati; Deferribacterota; Deferribacteres; Deferribacterales; Geovibrionaceae. The record is from Rfam by way of RNAcentral.
UAAGAAGACCGGGCAGUCGCCGGUGCGUUCGCGUGCGGGAGGAAAGUCCGGACACCGCAGGGCAGGACGGUCGGUAACGCCGACGUGCAGUGAUGCAGGGAAAGUGCCGCAGAAAACAGACCGCCAGUCUGAAAAGACAGGUAAGGGUGAAACGGUGGUGUAAGAGACCACCGCUCUGCCGGGUGACCGGCGGAGGCACGGUAAACCCCGUCCGGUGCAAGGUUAAAUAGGUGAGCAUUUUAGGGCUGCCCGCCCGAGCUCACGGGUAAACCGCUUGAGCCUGAGAGCAAUCUCCGGUCUAGAUUAAUGACUGCCUCAGCCCCUUAAGAAGGGCUCAGACAGGAUCCGGCUUAUAGGUCUUCUUAUUUU